GUGCUUGGCUUUGACAGCACAUGUACUGAAAUUCAAACAAUACAGAGAAGAUAAGCAUGGCCCCUUCACAAGGAUGACAUGCAGAUUUGUGAAGUGUUCAUCUUUUUA
Molecule: small nuclear RNA, 108 nt
Organism: Jaculus jaculus (lesser Egyptian jerboa)
Lineage: Eukaryota; Metazoa; Chordata; Mammalia; Rodentia; Dipodidae
Source: Ensembl